Molecule: unclassified non-coding RNA, 316 nt
Filed under: Hevea brasiliensis (rubber tree)
Lineage: Eukaryota; Viridiplantae; Streptophyta; Magnoliopsida; Malpighiales; Euphorbiaceae
Source: RNAcentral
UUGAUCUGAAUUAUAACCCGACCCAAAAACUUCAUGUUGCUACCCGAUUAGUAUAAAAAGUGAGGUCUGUAGUGGUAGCGAAGAGGAUAGGCUAAUAGGGUUAGAGUCAUAGUGGAAUAUUACAGUAUAAAUAUUAUAAUAUUCUGCCAUUUGCGGUGGAUUUGUGAGAUAUUUGGGAAAUACACUGUAGUUAGGGUUUGAGAGUUUUAAGUGAUUGUAUCUUACUAUUUUUCAUCAUAGUGGAAUUUUUCUCUUGUUGCCCGUGGAUGUAAACCUUAUGGUCUAACCACAUAAAUACAAUGUUAUUCUUUUUCUU